Small nucleolar RNA from Zingiber officinale, 106 nucleotides. Lineage: Eukaryota; Viridiplantae; Streptophyta; Magnoliopsida; Zingiberales; Zingiberaceae. The record is from RefSeq and is a predicted model, not a curated record.
AAUCCAUGAUGUGGGCAGUCUCUCAACAUCCCUUUGAAUUUACCCCAAGCUUUAUAAAGAGAUUCGGAGUCUAUUUGCUAGAAGCUUGCAAUAAGAUUUUGAAGGU